RNAcentral lists this ribosomal RNA (465 nucleotides) under uncultured bacterium. RNAcentral describes it as "bacterial SSU rRNA". It matches the Rfam family "Bacterial small subunit ribosomal RNA", at positions 338 to 795 of the family's 1533-position model. The record is from RNAcentral.
CCUANGGGAGGCAGCAGUGGGGAAUUUUGGACAAUGGGGGCAACCCUGAUCCAGCCAUGCCGCGUGCGGGAAGAAGGCCUUCGGGUUGUAAACCGCUUUUGGUCGGGAAGAAAGGGCGCCGGAUAACACCUGGCGCUGUUGACGGUACCGGCAGAAUAAGCACCGGCUAACUACGUGCCAGCAGCCGCGGUAAUACGUAGGGUGCGAGCGUUAAUCGGAAUUACUGGGCGUAAAGCGUGCGCAGGCGGUGAGUUAAGUCUGCUGUGAAAGCCCCGGGCUCAACCUGGGAACGGCAGUGGAAACUGGCUCGCUGGAGUAUGGCAGAGGGGGGUGGAAUUCCGCGUGUAGCAGUGAAAUGCGUAGAGAUGCGGAGGAACACCGAUGGCGAAGGCAGCCCCCUGGGCCAAUACUGACGCUCAGGCACGAAAGCGUGGGGAGCAAACAGGAUUAGAUACCCCGNUANUC